AAAGUCGUAACAAGGUUUCCGUAGGUGAACCUGCGGAAGGAUCAUUACUAAACAUGGAAUAUGUUAUUCUUAAACCCACUCUGAGUACUUGUACUUGUUGCUUCCAUGGGCAGCGAACUUUAUGUUUGCAUCUGCUCAUGUGGUGGACCCAUGGGAGAUAUCAAUAUACUCUGCAUUUUUGUGAUCUCUGUCUGAUUAUGGUUUAUUCAAUAAACGUUAAAACUUUCAACAACGGAUCUCUUGGUUCUC
RNAcentral lists this unclassified non-coding RNA (249 nucleotides) under Ascomycota sp. RNAcentral describes it as "partial contains small subunit ribosomal RNA, internal transcribed spacer 1, and 5.8S ribosomal RNA". The stretch from base 1 to 47 matches the Rfam family "Eukaryotic small subunit ribosomal RNA", at positions 1785 to 1831 of the family's 1831-position model. Lineage: Eukaryota; Fungi; Ascomycota. The record is from RNAcentral.